CAGCCGCCGCGGUAAUACGUAGGUGGCAAGCGUUGUCCGGAAUUACUGGGCGUAAAGGGCUCGCAGGGGGUUUCUUAAGUCUGAUGUGAAAGCCCCCGGCUCAACCGGGGAGGGUCAUUGGAAACUGGGAAACUUGAGUGCAGAAGAGGAGAGUGGAAUUCCACGUGUAGCGGUGAAAUGCGUAGAGAUGUGGAGGAACACCAGUGGCGAAGGCGACUCUCUGGUCUGUAACUGACGCUGAGGAGCGAAAGCGUGGGGAGCGAACAGGAUUAGAUACCCCAGUAGUCCCUGUCUCUUAUAC
RNAcentral lists this ribosomal RNA (301 nucleotides) under uncultured bacterium. Its description in RNAcentral is "partial 16S ribosomal RNA". It matches the Rfam family "Bacterial small subunit ribosomal RNA", at positions 509 to 807 of the family's 1533-position model. The record is from RNAcentral.